RNAcentral lists this ribosomal RNA (246 nucleotides) under uncultured bacterium. RNAcentral describes it as "partial 16S ribosomal RNA". It matches the Rfam family "Bacterial small subunit ribosomal RNA", at positions 87 to 334 of the family's 1533-position model. The record is from RNAcentral.
UAUGGCGACCGGCGCACGGGUGAGUAACACGUAUCCAACCUGCCGAUGACUCGGGGAUAGCCUUUCGAAAGAAAGAUUAAUACCCGAUGGCAUAGUUCUUCCGCAUGGUAGAACUAUUAAAGAAUUUCGGUCAUCGACGGGGAUGCGUUCCAUUAGGUUGUUGGCGGGGUAACGGCCCACCAAGCCUUCGAUGGAUAGGGGUUCUGAGAGGAAGGUCCCCCACAUUGGAACUGAGACACGGUCCAA